This 484-nucleotide ribosomal RNA is filed under the name uncultured bacterium. RNAcentral's name for it is "partial 16S ribosomal RNA". It matches the Rfam family "Bacterial small subunit ribosomal RNA", at positions 30 to 507 of the family's 1533-position model. The record is from RNAcentral.
AUUGAACGCUGGCGGCAGGCCUAACACAUGCAAGUCGAGCGGAUGAAGGGAGCUUGCUCCUGGAUUCAGCGGCGGACGGGUGAGUAAUGCCUAGGAAUCUGCCUGGUAGUGGGGGAUAACGUCCGGAAACGGGCGCUAAUACCGCAUACGUCCUGAGGGAGAAAGUGGGGGAUCUUCGGACCUCACGCUAUCAGAUGAGCCUAGGUCGGAUUAGCUAGUUGGUGGGGUAAAGGCCUACCAAGGCGACGAUCCGUAACUGGUCUGAGAGGAUGAUCAGUCACACUGGAACUGAGACACGGUCCAGACUCCUACGGGAGGCAGCAGUGGGGAAUAUUGGCCAAUGGGCGAAAGCCUGAUCCAGCCAUGCCGCGUGUGUGAAGAAGGUCUUCGGAUUGUAAAGCACUUUAAGUUGGGAGGAAGGGCAGUAAGUUAAUACCUUGCUGUUUUGACGUUACCAACAGAAUAAGCACCGGCUAACUUCGUG